Molecule: ribosomal RNA, 387 nt
Filed under: Triticum aestivum (bread wheat)
Lineage: Eukaryota; Viridiplantae; Streptophyta; Magnoliopsida; Poales; Poaceae
Description: partial small subunit ribosomal RNA
Source: RNAcentral
AUGAAUUUGAUUGCUUCCAUUACCGAAGAGAACAAAAGAAGAAAAAGGGAAAGGAUCAUCUUGACAGUGAUGUAUGUUGAGUCAGUUUGUCUUGGCCUAGCUUAUCUUAGUACGCAGAGAGUACCGAAGAGUUUGCGAUGCUUUAGUGACGAAGAGCUUUGAUAUGUUCAUAGGAAGUACUUGCUCAAAGAAAUGUACAAUGGGUCAGAAGUAACUUGCUAUGAUGAGUUGCGCUUAACCAAAAGGAAUUUUCAUGAUCUUUGCACGAUGUUGCGUAUGAAGUGUGGUCUAAAAGAUAGCGUAUAUGUCACUGUAGAAGAAAAGGUUGAUAUGUUCUUGUUGCGUAUGAAGUGUGGUCUGAAAGAUAUGCCUACUAAUAGUCUCUAA